Rattus norvegicus (Norway rat) is the source of this 10182-nucleotide non-coding RNA. The record is from RefSeq and is a predicted model, not a curated record. NCBI's taxonomy places the organism in Eukaryota, Metazoa, Chordata, Mammalia, Rodentia, Muridae.
GGGGGAAAUUGUGACUAAAGCUGAAAACUUUAGCUGCAAGUGACUUAAAGAGCUAAGGAAGGGCCAGGAUCUUAUAGCAGAUGUUUACAUGUUUGUUAUUUAUGUAGACAUGACUAAAAUAAUUAUGCCAUUAGAUAUAUAAUUCACGCCUUCAGACAUCACUAUAAAUGUACACAUUGGGCUAUAGGUCUCAAGAUGCUAAUGCUUGCAGUGGGGCAGACUAGCCCACUGUGAGUACAAUUAAUCCUGUCCCUAUGCAUGUGGAUAAGGCUUCGGCUGCUGGACCAUGGACAACCCACUCACAGGCACUGCUGCUGAAGCACCCUGCCUGAGGCCUCAUCACUAAGUGACGUACUUCUGCCAAGAUGGUGGCUGCUGUGGGCUGAGAGAUUGUGACAACAGGCUUCCUGUCUGUACAUUGAGAAGUACACUUCACAGUGGCACAAUGACCUCCACGUCCCCAGCCCUGCCGAGUGAGUAGACGUAGGACAGGAAACAUUAUGUCAUGGUUCAUGGUAUCAAGAAGAGCUCAAACAUGGAAGAAACUUGACAGAGGAGAAUUUAUGGCGACAAUGUCACCAGAAGAGCUGAAGCUGGUUUCCCACAGGAACCAGAACUCUGAAGUAAGCAAGGAAGUCCCCGAAGACUCUAUAGAGCCAACAGCUGCCACUUGGAAAGUCAGCUUCCCCAAACCAAUCUAUCUAAACCUGGGAAACAUGAGGGAGAAGUUUCUCCGUGACAGCCUUGAAUCAACCAAGCUUGGACACUGAAGAAGAAGAAUUCAGCCCUGAGUUGCUUAGCUUUACAGGUAAUCUGCCUGCCUGUGAUUUCUCAGCUUACUUUGCUACAUGUCUAAUACUGGUAUCCAGUUGUAGUAGAGCAGUUUGAAAUUGGAGCUAGCCAACUAAAAAACUGCUAACAAUUCAUUAAAACACAUUUUGUCUUAAUAUUUACGGUGCUCAAAUAUUUUCCUAGGCAUAUGAAGCACCCAAAUCUUAAGAACAGGUGGCAAAACAAGAAGGUAAAGGUAGAAACAAGAGAUUAGCACAGUGGCUCCAGUUCUUACAAGGAAGCAUCUGUGAGCUGUGUAGACAACAGGGAUGGGAAAGAGAUUUUGGGGAAGGAGGAGAGAUGAGAUUGGAAUGCUUGGGUGGAAGAAAGGGCAAGAAUCUAGACACAUUCAAAGCCACCCUGUCAGUAAACAUGAAAGAAAUUGCCUUUGUGCUGAGCAGUACAAGGAAGUGAGGUUGAGACUUUAGUGAAGGGCUGUAGAGUUCGCUCUCAGAUGGAGAUACAAUGCCUAUAAAGCUGAAGAACGCUGUGCUGAAGAGCCCUACAAAUGAACAGAAGACCCGAUGCUCGUGAGAUACCCUAGCAGGUUGCUGCAGUGGCCCCUAAGGAAAUCUUCGUCAAAACAGUAGCAGGGAAACACGGAGAGGGAAAAAGCGGGCAUACAAAUUAAUGCUAUUUAUAAAGACUAGACACGUUAUGUUUAUAGAUAACUUAGGAUGCGCAUAUUUGCACAUAAUAACAAUGAGAUAAAGAAGGUAUGGAUUUAGAAGAGUGUGUGGGGGGGUACACAGGACAGUUUAGAGUGAGGAAAAUGGAGAAAGGAAUGAUAUAAUUGCAUUCAAUCUCAGAGAUAAACAGAAAAAGUGCUGGGAAAGAGGAAUAGACAACUAAAGUAUUUACCGUGGGGCUAGGAGACAGGGAGAUAGCAAGGGUAGAUGAACAGAUUAAAGACAGUAGCAUAAAAUAGCUAGUAACACAGAAAGCCUCAACGGAGCCUCCCCAAGACCACAACCUCACAGCUGGUCUGCAGCAACACCAGCUUUUCCCGUGGGAAUGCUAUUAGGUCUCUUUCGGUACCCACCUCUCGAAAAGCCUCACUCUUGAGGGCCUGAAGCCGCUGGUUUGUUUGGGGUUGCAUGGUUUGUAUCUCUAAUCCAGUCAGCCCAGUUUUCUUCUUUUUCUGAAGAGCAAUGUACAACUGAUACAGAAGUUUGGUUGCUGCCCCGGGCUUUUCUGUGAUGAUGCUCUGAGCCACAUUCUGAUCAAACUGCACACCCAACAGGUGAAGCGUUGGUUGCAAGCGGGAGAAAUUAUUAAGUUUGGCAGUUGAGACCCUAGAGGCGAUGACAUGAUCAUAAUUAUAAAUUAAUGCCUAAUGAGAUGCAAACACCCAAUUCCAGAAGUACUGUUAUGACACUGUUAUGAUACAGUACUGUGAAUUAUUCCAACUGCCCCUUUGUCUUAAAUGACUCUGUAAUGAAAAUGCAUGGGGAUAAUUUUCCCCAUCAGUCAUGUUUAUCUAAACUUUAUUUUUCUUGAAAUAAACCGAAACUUAUUAAUUUUAUAGUUAAUGCUGUAAAUUGAUGAUAAAACUUAGUAUAGGAAAUAAGCACUAAGACAGAAAAUAUAUGCUGCUCGGUGGAUAAAUAAAACAAAGUACAGUUUUGAAAACUACAUUUUAUUCUAAAGGUGAAAUUGCAAUACAAAUGUCCAUUGUAUCAAGUUGUCAUUUAUUAUUGCUAAUGUCUUAAGUUAGUCCUAAAUUUUGAAUUAACAAGUCAAACAAUGGUCUUCUCAGAAACUCUUAAUACUCUUUAACUGAAGGAUAUUAGCUAUGGAAAUCAUUCUGUUACUCUUCAAUAUAUAGUUUAUGGUAAUUCUUUGAUGUGAAAAAGUCAACAAUUUGAAAUUUUAUUAUCUUUAAUUAUUUGAUUUCAACAUAGGCUCAGACUUUAAGAAACUAAUGAACAUUAACUUUCUCCAUGAAUUAGUAUUCUACUAAAUAACCAUAUUACUAAGGGUAUACCUCAUUCAAUUAAUUUAAAUAAUUUAUUGAUACAUAUGGCAGGAGAGAUAGUUUAAAGUCACUUGCUACGCUCCCAGAGAACAUGGGUUUGGUUCUCUACACAUGCAUGUCAGCUCAGAACUACAUCUAAUCCAAUUUCAUGGGAUCUGCAUGGCAUUAUAUGGCCUUUGUAGACACUAGGCAUUCAUGAGAUACACAUACAUAAUUCAGGUAAAACCUCAUGCACAAAAGGUAACUAAAUAAAAAUUAUUGAAGGGUUAAAAAUGAACAAGAUGUAGUUAUUACUUUUAGGUGUUCGUAGUUAAUGAGAAAUUCAUUUGCAUAACAGGCAAUAAAAAUUAGACGUUGCUUCAGGGAUCUCAAGUGGUCUAUAACUGUUAGUGAUUAAAAAAGACAUUCAAUUCAUUUGCAACUGUUGUGACUAUCAUCAACACAUAAACAAGUACUAGGCUUUGGCCUGAAUUCUUUGAACUUUUUAAAAAAGAUUUGUUUAUUUUAUAUAUGUGAGUACACUGUUGCUCUCUUCAGACAGACUAGAAGAGGACAUUGGAUCCUGUUACAGAUGGUUGUGAGCCACCAUGUGGUUGCUGGAAGAGCAGUCAGUGCUCUUAACCACUGAGCCAUCUCUCCAGCCCUGGCCUUCCAACAUUUAAAUCUAUUCUGUCUGUCUGUCUGUCUGUCUGUCUGUCUGUCUGUCUGUCUGUCUGUCUGUCUUGUCUGUCAUCUAUUUAUUUACAUUUCAAGUGUUAUCUCCUUUCUCAGUUUCCUGUCCAUAAACCCCCUUUCCCAUCGCCCCUCUGCCUUCCUCUGAGGGUGUUCCCCCACCUAUUCACCCACACCUUCCUGCCUCCCCACACUGACAUUCCCCUACACUGGGGGGUUGAGCCUUGGCAGGACUAAGGGCUGCUCCUCCCAUUGGUGCCCAACAAGGCCAUCUUCUGUUACAUGUGCAGCUGGAGCCACGGGUCAGUCCAUGUGAACUCUUUAGACUGUCCCACCUGGGGAUCCAGCCCAUAUACGUACAGCCACCAAGCCCAGACACUAUUGCUGAUGUCAAGAAGUGCAUGCUGACAGGAGCCUGAUAAAGCUGUCUCCUGAGAAGUCCAUUCUUUAAUACAAAAAACAUUCUGAGUACCCUUGAAUGUGAUCAAAGUGCAUACCUAAAGUCCUUCCUCAGAAUUGAGACUUGCCAUGUAUUUGAGUGAUUGUGAAAUAAGUGUGCAGAGAGACUCAUGUGCAUCGCCCACUGUGUGUAUUCAGAACGAUGGUAACUGAGAGUUAUCUAUCCAAGCUUAGGUUUGGUCCUAUGUUAACUGCAGUGUUUGUGAACAUCAUAAUUCAGAAGAGAUAAUACAAAGAAAAUCAUGAAACAAUCUCACUGUUUUCAAAGCUUAGCCCUUAGCCCUACAGUCAAGAGUUGCUCCUCUCUUCUCACUGUCUUACAUGGCUUCCUGAAUAUAGCAUUUUUGUUAAUAUAUAUGACUUCCAGUUUGGUUUGAAGAUACCAGUAAUAAACCAAAUAUCAGAAGUAAACACAAGAGAUCGCUCUGAAAGAUAUAAUGGAUAUUCUAAAUUCCCAGCCAUCCAGACUUUGAAGAACACAACUUGAAGAAUCUCAGGAAAUCUGAGAUUGUUAAGGCAUGCGCACAGCCUCACAGGAGGAUAAUCAGCUCUUGUUUUUGGAAACAGAAAAUCAGCUGGGACAUCUUGGCCCUGGAGACAGAGCAUAUGAUGCAAACGAUGACCUCUGAGGGAGUAAGGAUGGUGCCCUGGGAAACGUUCCCUUGCCCUCUGCUUACCGUCUUUCUUUGCCAAGGGAGUUAGGUCUCCUCUCCUGCUUGCCACCAGCUCACAGAACACACGUUUUCUCAACAAAAGAAAUGCUACCCUCGGGAAGAUAGUUCCUUAUUAACUAUUUUAUUCCUUUUAACUAAUCUACUUAAUAAUCCUCUCGGAGUUAGAGAAGUUAUUCCUAAAAUUAAGUCAUUUCUAAGACAUGUCACUUCGUGUCAUUAGCAGUGUAUAAAGCACAAUUUUAACUUCAGAUUAGAAUAAAGAUAUUAAAAAGUAUGAGAUGAUAAUCAUAUGCCUUAUCUUAGGGUUUCUACUGCUCUGAUAAAACACCAUGACCAAAAGCAACUUGGGGAGGGAAGGGCUUAUUUUCAUUUUAAGCUCUCAAGUAACUGUCUAUCACUGAAGAAAGUUAGAGAAGGAACCCCAGCUGGUCAGGAACCUGGAGUAAUGUAGUUCCCACACACAAGUACUGUUUCCUGCUUUGCUUUCCAUGGUUUGCUGGUUUAGAGCUGACGUACCUUACCAUCUACAGAGCAUUGCUUUCAAGAACCCUGCACAUGUAAAAAUCUACUAAAAUGGCAGUGCUACUUUCAUACAAUUUAAGUGCAUACACUUUUAUAGUUUAAGUCUUCUUUGGAUUACACUGUAAGUCCCUUGGAUAUUUUCAGCCCAUGCUUAAAUCCAUAGGUGAAGAAUGUCCAUGUGGAAAAAUCAUUGUGCACCUCAAAGAUUGGUAUUGCAUUAAAAAAAUGAGACCGGAACAGUUCUUUAAAAUGUCUAUGGCUAAAAUCAGGUGUAGAUUUUGACAUUGAUUUCUUGAGUACAGAAAUGAUAUUGUGAAUUUACCAUGGGUGAAGGAACUGUGCUUUGAGGACAACUUUAAGGAUAUUUGAAAUUCAUUUGAAGAAUGUCCUAGGUUACUUUUGUGGCUAUGAUAAAAAUUAUGACCAAAGCAACCUGCAGAGGAAAGUGUUUAAUUGUCUUACACUUUUUAAUCAUAGGAUAUCACAAGGAAGUCCAGAUUGGAACAUGAAGGUAAAAACUGAGGAGUGUUUCUUAUUACUGGCUUGAUCUCUAUGAAGUACUCAGCUUGCUCGCUUAUAUUAUCCAGGUGUCUAUAGGUGAAACCAGGCACAGCAGGCCUGGUCCUCCUGCAUGCACAUCAAUCAUUAAUAAUAGCAAUAACAAUAACAACAAUAAUAGCUUCAUGACGUGUUCACAGGCCAAUCUGAUGGAAGUAAUCCUUCAAGUAAAGUUCUCGCUUCCCAGUUUGUGCAAGUUGACAAACAAACUAAAAAGAAACUAACUUUUGAUGAACCAUUUUCCAAUAAUUUUGGGCACCCAGGUUUAACAUUAUUCUAAUAAAAACUGACACAAAUAAUCCUAACAAUACAAUUACAAAAAGUAUCACCAUGUUAUCAUUGGAAUGGAGAGAAGACAAGAGCUAAAUCUGCUGAAAAAUUAAGAGGAGAGUUUUUCAAAGCAAUAGUGAAAGAGUAAUAAUAGGCAAAGAUUCAUGUCUCAGCUUGAAUGAAGAUGGCUUCCAUAAGCUCACAUAUUUGAAUGCUUGGUGACCAGUUGUUAGAACUGUUUGGAAUGGAUUUUUGAGGUUUGGCUUUGUUGGAGGAAGUCACUGAGGAUGGGCUUUGAGGUUUCAAAAGCCCAUACUGUUCCUACUUAGUUCUCUCUCUCUCUCUUCCUCUCUCUCUCUCCCCUCCCCCCUCUCUCUCUCCAAUUCCCUCUCUUCUCUCUCUCCUUCCAUCCUUCCACCUCUGUGCCUCAUACCUGUAGAUAGAAAUGUAAAAUCUCAGUUACUGCUCCCGGGUCAUGCCUGCCUACCUGUCGUCAUGCUCUCAGUCAUGCCUUAAUGAUCCCUCCAGAACUGUGAGCCCAGUAAAUUCCUAAGUUGCCUUGGUCAUAGUGUCUUUUACAGUAAUAGAAAAUCAACUAAGGCAAUUUAAUUUGUGGGUAAGAUGUUUGAAAUGUGUACCCUCUUAGAAUUUACCUAGACAUUUACACAUUCAUUAAUUUACCAACCAAAAUAACCAAUCACUUAAAUUUCACCAAAUCUGCAGUUGGACCUAUUCAACCCUCAAGAAUCUAAAAACAAUGAUAACAACAACAACAACAACAACAAUAAAUAACAGGGGCAUUUGUAACUUGAAGGAUGCAUUGAAUACACAAUGUUGGAAACAAAAGGAACUGGCAACAAGGAGAAAUGUGCAGAGCAUGCAACUGUGAAACAUGUUCCUAAUGUGCACAAAAUGAUAAGCAGAAGUGUUGGAAAUCUGGCUCCCUGGAUCCAUACUGAAGAGGGUGCAUAAAGAGUGGGAGAGCCAGAGAUUGUGGACAAUGUCAAGGAAACGAAGACACCGAUGGAGUUUACGUAUGAACUCACAGAGACAUAGACAACAAAAACAAGACCUGCACUGGGUCAAGCAAGAGAAAAUCCUGGCACGGAGAGGUAGAGGGGAUGAGUGGGCACAAAGCCCCACUUUAGCAAGAAGCUACUGAUGGGUGCUGAGCCAGUAGAAUCAGUUUGUGUCAGUGGAGGGAAAUGGACUGGAUGAAACACUCCAGGGCAGGCCUAGGGCUCACCAGUAACUGGCUAACACAAAAUGGGCUCUUUUUGUUCUUUUUUAAAAGAUGUAUUUAUUUAUUAUAUAUAAGUACACUGUAGCUGUCUUCAGACACACCAGAAGAGAGCAUCAGAUCUCAUUAGAGAUGGUUGUGAGCCACCAUGUGGUUGCUGGGAUUUGAGUUCAGGACCUCUGGAAGAGCAGUCAGUGCUCUUAACCACUGAGCUAUUUCUCCAGUCCUUUGUUCUUAUUUUUAAGAGGGAGAAAGAACACAAAGUCAGGGUGGUGUGUCAGGAUCUGGGGGAGGUUGGGUGAGGAAAGAAUACAAUCAAAAUAUAUUAAAGUUGCUUUUUAAUAAAGAGCACUUACUGCGUUGCAUGUGUAAGAAUAGACUUUUUGUUGCCUUUUACAUCAUAUCACUCCCAUACCUUUUUUUCUACUUCAAAGGCAGGCUCCAAAUACAACAGCAGUAGCUAUAAAAUCCAGCAAUCAACAGGGAAGGCAAUUGUCUGAAGCCCCUCAGAAAAGAUGCUGGGUUCCAAGCCUACCACUAUUUGACCUGCCUGACAGUGCUGUGGAAAAUUCUUUAUUGUUGUUGUUUUGUUUGUUUGUUGUUUGUUUUUUUUUGUGGUCUUGUCAUUAUUUGAUCUGCCUUAAAGAUCGUUUGUUGAACUAAGCCAACAGUAUUUCAAGGAUAUUAAUAUAAAGUGACAAGUGGCUCAUGUUCAAGAUCCCACCUCCCUGUCUUGGUGCUAUCCGCUGCUCCAAACAAGAUCCUUCUCAAAAGAUCUAAGGACGAAAUGUGUGUUGAGGAGUCUGAAGCUCUUAUAGUUUCUGGGCAUCGAUGUAUAAGGCAAAAUACAUGUGUGCAAGAGUAUGGGUUCCAGGAAAAGACAGGAAGAUUCCAAAUACAUCAUGUCUCUAGCCAGGUUAAGGUAUUACUACCACAGGAAGUAGUGAGUAAGGAAGGAAGAAUAAGAAAUUUCCAAAGCAAAUAUCAUCCUGCGUGAGGUAACCCAAUCACAGAAAAACACACAUGGUAUGCACUCAUUGAUAAGUGGCUAUUAGCCCAAAUGCUCGAAUUACCCUAGAUGCACAGAACACAUGAAACUCAAGAAGGAUGACCAAAAUGCGAAAGCUUCACUCCUUCUUUAAAAGGGGAACAAGAAUGCCCUUGGGAGGGAAUAGGGAGGCAAAGUUUAGAACAGAGGCUGAAGGAACACCCAUUUAGAGCCUGCCCCACAUGUGGCCCAUACAUAUACAGCUACCAAACUAGAUAAGAUUGAUGAAGCAAAGAAGUGCAGGCUGACAGGAACCGGAUGUAGAUCUCUCCUGAGAGACACAGCCAGAAUAUGGCAAAUACAUAGGCGAAUGCCAGCAGCAAACCACUGAACUGAGAAUGGGAACCCUGUUGAAGGAAUCAGAGAAAGAACUGAAAGAGCUUGAAGGGGCUUGAGACCCCAUAUGAACAACAAUGCCAACCAACCAGAGCUUCCAGGGAUUAAGCCACUACCCAAAGACUAUACAUGGACUGACCCUCGGCUCCAAUCUCAUAGGGAGCAAUGAAUAAAUAGCCUAGUAAGAGAACCAGUGGAACGGGAAGCCCUUGGUCCUGCCAAGGCUGGACCCCCAGUGAAUAAGAUUGUUGGGGGUGGUGGUAAUAGGGGGAGGAUGGAGAGGGGAACACCCUAUAGAAGGGGAGGGGCAGGGGAUGGGGGAUGUUUGCCUGGAAACCGGGAAAGGAAAUAACAAUUGAAAUGUAAAUAAGAAAUACCCAAGUUAAUAAAGAUGGAGAAAAAAAAAAAGAAAUUUCCAAAGCAAAAUGUGCUUCAACACUCCCACAGAAUCACGCAGCAAUCGACAACUUGUCAAAAUGUACACCAGCUGAUCACUAGGCUGCCAAAUAUUGUAUCUAUCCGGCAAGGAAUAGAGACUUUACAGAAUUCACCCCAAAAGGCCAUCAAGGAAACAAAAGCAGCUGAAAUUGCAUCCACAGCAGAUAGCAGCAACAGCCCAAAAUGCAGAAAUUAGAGUUAGCAGAUGAGGUUCUUUUUUGUUAUUGGAUAGCUUAUGUAUUUACAUUUCAAAUGUUAUCCCCUUUCCCAGUUCCCCCCUCUCCCAUCCCCCUACCCCCUGCUUCUAUGAAGAUGCUCCCCCUUCCACCCACCCAUUCCCAACCCCCUGAUCUGGCAUUCAUCUACACUGGGGCAUUGAGCCUUCACAGAACCAAGAGCCUCUCCUCCCAUUGAUGCCAGACAAGGCCAAUCCUCUGCUUCCUAUGUACCUGGAGCCAGGGGUCACCCCAUGUGUAAUCUUUGGAUGAGAUCUUCCCCUUUAGUAUUGGGCAUUUGAAUACCUGGUCCCCAGUUGGUGGUUCUUUGCAGAGGAUUAAGAGAUAUGACCACCAGCUUUGAGGCUUCAAAAGACUUACACUAUUUCAAGUUAGAUCUUCCUGAUGCUUGCUUGUGGACCAAGACUGAUCCCUCAGCUCCUACUCUAGCACCAUGCCUGCCUGCCUGCAUGCGCUCCCUACUGUGAUAAUGAUGGCCUCAUCUGACUGGAAUGAUAAUCCUAAAAUAAUUUUUUUUUAAAAAGUUGCCUCAACUAUGGUGAACUCCGCAGCAAAAGAUAAGUAACUAAACAGCACAGUAUAUUAUUUUCCAUGCCCAAUGCUUAGUAAUUCUCACACAUGCAUACAAACAAGAAAACAUACACAAUAAGAAAACAACCCAGUAAAAGCCCUCUGAUGAGGCCUGUAAACAACUGGAGAAUGGAUAUUAAGAUAUUUCCCAAUAAAAAUAACUGUCCAACAUCAAAACAUAAAGAAAUAAAAAGUAAAACUUUUUCUAAAGUUAAAAACAAUUUUAAUUAGAAUGAGGUGAAAGCCUCAACCAUAAAGACAUAAAAAUUAUAAAAAGUAAGAACAAAAUAGAAUAUCAGAAUUUAGAAUUACUACUUGAAGUUGGCUCAGCUGGUGUGGUGAAUGGAGAU